This is a long non-coding RNA of Phyllopteryx taeniolatus (common seadragon), 779 nucleotides long. RefSeq lists it as uncharacterized. NCBI's taxonomy places the organism in Eukaryota, Metazoa, Chordata, Actinopteri, Syngnathiformes, Syngnathidae. The record is from RefSeq and is a predicted model, not a curated record. The transcript is spliced from 2 exons.
AAUAAAAAAAGAUGGCGACCUGCGCGAACACUAUCUUGCGUUGGCCUUGUCCGAAUACAACCUAAACUUCUGGACAAAUAUGCGGUCCUUCUGCAACCUUCAAACACGGUGGAUGAAGAGGAAACACAGAGACGCAGAACGAUGAAGUGCAAGUGGAGGCACCUACAAGAUCGGCAGAACACCUGGAUCGAUGCAGUGAUGAUCAUCAUAAUGGUGACUUGUUUUCUGCACAACAUGUGCAUGUGUCAUCUGCCUCACAGUUCUGAGGACCCGGGUUCAAAUCCGGCCUCCCCUGUGUGGAGUUUGCAUGUUCUCCCCUGUACCUGUGUGGGUUUUCUCUGGGUACUCCGGUUUCCUCCCACAUCCCAAAAACAUGCAUGGUAGGUUAAUGGAAGACUCUAAAUUGCCCGUGAGUGCGAAUGGUUGUUCGUUUAUAUGUGCCCUGUGAUUGGCUGGCGCCCAGUUCAGGGUGUACCCCGCCUCUCGCCCAGAGUCAGCUGGGAUAGGCUCCAGCACGCCCGCGACCCGAGUGAGGAUAAGCAGUUCGGAGAAUGAAUGAAUGCAUGUGCAUGAGUGAUUUGGAGAUCUGUCAGGAACACCCAAAUGGAUGCCAAGACAGGCAGAUGAAAAUGAGUUGAGGACACAUUGCAGAUGUCAUGAGGCCAUGCUGUGAAAUGAUCCUGCUCUUUCUUAAAAUGUUCUGUAACACUGUAAAUAGCUAUCAAUAAUGCGCUGCUGUAAUUACUUUUUUUCCUGCAAAUAAAUAUUUUACUCAGUUA